RNAcentral lists this ribosomal RNA (497 nucleotides) under uncultured bacterium. RNAcentral describes it as "partial 16S ribosomal RNA". It matches the Rfam family "Bacterial small subunit ribosomal RNA", at positions 28 to 507 of the family's 1533-position model. The record is from RNAcentral.
GAUGAACGCUGGCGGCGUGCCUAAUACAUGCAAGUCGAGCGAACGGACGAGAAGCUUGCUUCUCUGAUGUUAGCGGCGGACGGGUGAGUAACACGUGGAUAACCCACCUAUAAGACUGGGAUAACUUCGGGAAACCGGAGCUAAUACCGGAUGAUAUUUUGAACCGCAUGGUUCAAAAGUGAAAGACGGUCUUGCUGUCACUUAUAGAUGGAUCCGCGCUGCAUUAGCUAGUUGGUAAGGUAACGGCUUACCAAGGCAACGAUGCAUAGCCGACCUGAGAGGGUGAUCGGCCACACUGGAACGUAGACACGGUCCAGACUCCUACGGGAGGCAGCAGUAGGGAAUCUUCCGCAAUGGGCGAAAGCCUGACGGAGCAACGCCGCGUGAGUGAUGAAGGUCUUCGGAGCGUAAAGCUCUGUUAUUAGUGAAGAACAUAUGUGUAAGUAACUGUGCACAUCUUGACGGUACCUAAUCAGGAAGCCACGGCUAACUACGUG